CUGUUGUCAUGGAAACGCACAUUGUUUUAAUUAUUUUGCCAUUAUAUGACAUAAUACCAUGUAUUUUGUAGUAUUGUUGACAAAGCAGCAUUAUCAACUAAACUCGGCUCAGAUUCAUUUUUUCGUUAGCAAUGGUUUAUCGUUGCUUACAGAUAUGCAUUGAAUUCCUGUCUGUAGCCUACCUUUUUAACUUCCUACCUACAACAGUGACUGCAUCCAUCUGCUAAGUAUGUCCGUUC
Non-coding RNA from Cinara cedri, 239 nucleotides. Lineage: Eukaryota; Metazoa; Arthropoda; Insecta; Hemiptera; Aphididae. The record is from the annotation of a GenBank genome assembly.